UAUUGUAUACAUUAUUGUGUAUGUUUUUGUUUGUUUUAACCAUUGUUUUCUCUCCUUCUGUCAUCCACCCCUCCUUUUUCUCCUCAACUUCAAUCCCUGCUUCCUCUCCCUUCUUACCAUCUUACUUCCCUGCUCACCAUUACUUUUGCCACUCUCCUCCGCUUGACCCCUCCGCUGCCCACACCCACACACUCACUGAGCAUUCACUGAACUAAACCAAACUGAACCGUAAUUGGUCACAAUUGCCAAACAAUGACCAUCCAGUGGCGGUACCCGAGGUUGACUGAAGUGGGCUUGUGGGCAUCCCCUCUACCUCUUCUUCUCUACAGUCCUCUGUUCUCUUAAUUUCCACUAAACUGGAACACAAAUGCUAGGUUCAGCACGGAACCUAAGGACAACUCAUACCAGGCGUAUGACUCACGAAAGCAAUGAUGCUAAAAAGAAAUGGCACAAUGAAACCAAGCCCAACAACUGCUAAGUGGAAUCUUUCUCUUCUCUCUCAUGCCUGACUUAGAAGUUAAUUAAGAUGUUGCUUAUGAUACUGUAAUUAAUGAAAUUAUUAAUUAUGUGGUCACAUUUAUUAUUGUUUGUUAUUGUAACGGUGUGGCCCGAGUGCCGAAGGGCAUGGAACAGGGCGCACAGACUUCAUCGACAGAGACGAACAUUUAUUGACAUAACACGAGCAAUAAACGUGAACAGUUAACGGUUAACACUGAACAAAACGAUGAACACGACUACCUUUAAAUGACGAAAAGUACAAACCGAUGAAUACAAGUACCUUUAAAUGACGAAAAGUACAAACCGAUGAAUACAAGUACCUUUAACAAUGACGAAAAUUACGAAACAAUGAACACGACUACCUUUAACAAUGAUGAAAAGUACAAGUUUAUAGUGACGACGCGAACAUUUACAUCAACACGCUACAUCAACAAUGACCAACACUGCACACUUUGACAAGGGUUUAUAUGCAUAAAGACGAAGGAGCAGGUGCGUUUACAAACAAAAUAACCCUCCCACUGCACGUGGCGGGCCAAGCCAUGUGACUCGCGGGAGGCGAGCGUUCCGUGACAGUUAUCUAUUAGAUGUAGUUAGUAUUAUUCUCAGAAAUUUGGUUUAAAGUAAUUACAGCAUAACACCUACUUAGGAUGGCACAUCAAUAGUAGGAUUACCUGUAUAGGUUUUAAACUGCUAGCUCUUUAUUAGAAAAGUGAAAGAGAGGACGUAGUUAGUGGAAGAAUGGUCACAACUUCACCUCCGCUAUGUCUCGUUUCAGGUGGACUCUGCUUGCCUUGGCAGUGCAUGGAGGAGAUUCCACACCGAAACCAAAGACGCCAGUGAAGACAUGGAGUGGACACCAUAUGUUGAUGCCAGCCAGGUCAUUGAGUCUUUCCAGAAGCUGAGUCUCAGCAGUGUUGAGAUGGAUGUGGACCAGAACAUCAACAAUGAACUAGAUGACAUUGAGCAGGCUCUUCACAGACUGGAUCUGAAUGCUGAUGAAAUGGAGAUAUGCAAAUGAAGUGGUGGAUGACCACUUUAGGCCUUGCUCUUAUACAGGCUACAUGUGAUGAAUGUUAUUAGGCAAUUCUGUAAAUAUUGUAAAUAUGACUGUACAUAUUUCUUUGUUAGUUUAGUAUGUCUUGGUUUUGUUUUGGGGUUUGGGAAUUUUGGUUUGUUUAUUUUCUCCACUUAUUUAUUUUGGCAUUAAUAAAUGUAAUCAAGUUUUUGGUCCUCCAGAGAUUUUGGAGGGGGUGGUGGUAUGGGUGAAAAAAAACAAUAAUUCAAUAAUUGCUGUAGUUACUAAUAGUUAGAAGUCAGUCCCCUGAGUUUUCAGGGCAGUCUCCUAUCCAUAUUUAUUUGAUGAUCAGAUUUGUACAUUAUCAGUGUCUGAAGCAAAACAGAUCUGUAACUUUCCAAUCUUAAAAAAACAAACAAAAUACAUGAAUAAAACUUUCCAAUCUUAAAAAAAGAA
Molecule: long non-coding RNA, 1969 nt
Organism: Electrophorus electricus (electric eel)
Lineage: Eukaryota; Metazoa; Chordata; Actinopteri; Gymnotiformes; Gymnotidae
Source: RefSeq, a predicted model, not a curated record